This 1992-nucleotide ribosomal RNA is filed under the name Stereopsis globosa. RNAcentral's name for it is "eukaryotic LSU rRNA". The stretch from base 638 to 1992 matches the Rfam family "Eukaryotic large subunit ribosomal RNA", at positions 1 to 1325 of the family's 3401-position model. The record is from RNAcentral. Lineage: Eukaryota; Fungi; Basidiomycota; Agaricomycetes; Stereopsidales; Stereopsidaceae.
UUCNUCGUCAUUUAGAGGAAGUAAAAGUCGUACAAGGUUUCCGUAGGUGAACCUGCGGAAGGAUCAUUAACGAGUUCAGAAAAGGGUUGUAGCUGGCCUCAAAUCCGGGGCAUGUGCACACCCUGCUCAUCCACUCUCACACCUGUGCACUUUCUGUAGGUCGGUUCGGGAUCUGGUCCCUCGCGGGGUCGGGUUCUGUGCCUUCCUAUGUACAAUCACAAACGCUUCAGUAUUCAGAAUGUCAUUGCGAUAAUUAAAACGCAUCUUAUACAACUUUCAGCAACGGAUCUCUUGGCUCUCGCAUCGAUGAAGAACGCAGCGAAAUGCGAUAAGUAAUGUGAAUUGCAGAAUUCAGUGAAUCAUCGAAUCUUUGAACGCACCUUGCGCUCCUUGGUAUUCCGAGGAGCAUGCCUGUUUGAGUGUYAUGGAAUUCUCAACCCACACAUCCUUGUGAUGUGGACGGGCUUGGACUUUGGAGGCUCAUGCCGGUCCCCAUUCGGGUCGGCUCCUCUGGAAUGCAUUAGCUCCAUCCCUUGCGGAUCGGCUCUCGGUGUGAUAAUUGUCUACGCCGUGGUCGUUGAAGCCUCAGUCGGGCGAGCUUAUAAUCGUCCCCUCCGGGACAAUCGAAUAUGACAUCUGACCUCWMAUCAGGUAGGACUACCCGCUGAACUUAAGCAUAUCAAUAAGCGGAGGAAAAGAAACUAACCAGGAUUCCCCUAGUAACGGCGAGUGAAGYGGGAAAAGCUCAAAUUURAAAUCUGGCWGGYCYYMGGCCGYCCGAGUUGUAGUCUGGAGAAGCGUUUUCUGCGCCACACUGUGUACAAGUCUCUUGGAAUGGAGCCUCAGAGAGGGUGACAAGCCCGUCUACGACACAGAAUUUGGUGUGCGCUCUGUGAUGCGCUCUCAAAGAGUCGAGUUGUUUGGGAAUGCAGCUCAAAAUGGGUGGUAAAUUCCAUCUAAAGCUAAAUACAGGCGAGAGACCGAUAGCGAACAAGUACCGUGAGGGAAAGAUGAAAAGCACUUUGGAAAGAGAGUCAAACAGUACGUGAAAUUGUUGAAAGGGAAACACUUGAAGUCAGUCUCCGUGACUUGAGAUUCAGCUCCUCUGGAGUGUAUUUCUCUUGUUCCAACGGGCCAGCAUCAAUUUCGACCGACGGACAAGGUAGUUGAGGAAGGUGGCACUCCAUUGGAGUGUGUUAUAGCCUUGACGUCGCCUGCGUUGGUUGAGAUUGAGGACAGCAGCACUCCCUUUACUGGGAACGGGGUUCGCCCACGUAUGGUGCUUGGGAUGCUGGCGUAAUGGCUUUAAGUGACCCGUCUUGAAACACGGACCAAGGAGUCUAACAUGCCCGCGAGUAUUUGAGUCUUUGAAACUCAUGUGCGCAAUGAAAGUGAAAUAGUUGGCACCUCUGUCGUGGAGGGCACCGACGCCCAGACCAGACCCAUUGGUGACGGUUCUGAGGUGGAGCGUGCAUGUUGGGACCCGAAAGAUGGUGAACUAUGCCUGAAUAGGGUGAAGCCAGAGGAAACUCUGGUGGAAGCUCGUAGCGAUUCUGACGUGCAAAUCGAUCGUCAAAUUUGGGUAUAGGGGCGAAAGACUAAUCGAACCAUCUAGUAGCUGGUUCCUGCCGAAGUUUCCCUCAGGAUAGCAGAAGCUCACUCUCAGAUUUAUGUGGUAAAGCGAAUGAUUAGAGGCCUUGGGGUCGAAACGACCUUAACCUAUUCUCAAACUUUAAAUAUGUAAGANCAAGUCGUCACUUGAUUGGACCGCUUGGUGAAUGAGAGCUUCUAGUGGGCCAUUUUUGGUAAGCAGAACUGGCGAUGCGGGAUGAACCGAUCGCGAGGUUAAGGUGCCGGAAUGCACGCUCAUCAGACACCACAAAAGGUGUUAGUUCAUCUAGACAGCANGACNGUGGCCAUGGAAGUCGGAAUUCGCUACGGAGUGUGUAACANCUCACCUGCCGAAUGANCUAGCCCUGGAAAANUNGACUG